RNAcentral lists this transfer RNA (57 nucleotides) under Corethron hystrix. RNAcentral describes it as "partial tRNA". It matches the Rfam family "tRNA", at positions 7 to 59 of the family's 71-position model. Rfam says of the family: Transfer RNA (tRNA) molecules are approximately 80 nucleotides in length. Their secondary structure includes four short double-helical elements and three loops (D, anti-codon, and T loops). Further hydrogen bonds mediate the characteristic L-shaped molecular structure. tRNAs have two regions of fundamental functional importance: the anti-codon, which is responsible for specific mRNA codon recognition, and the 3' end, to which the tRNAs corresponding amino acid is attached (by aminoacyl-tRNA synthetases). tRNAs cope with the degeneracy of the genetic code in two manners: having more than one tRNA (with a specific anti-codon) for a particular amino acid; and 'wobble' base-pairing, i.e. permitting non-standard base-pairing at the 3rd anti-codon position. The record is from RNAcentral. Lineage: Eukaryota; Bacillariophyta; Corethrophyceae; Corethrales; Corethraceae.
UUGAUAGCUCAGUUGGGAGAGCGUCAGACUGAAGGUCUGAAGGCAUGUGUUCGAUAC